RNAcentral lists this small RNA (68 nucleotides) under uncultured Mycobacterium sp. RNAcentral's name for it is "ASdes TB sRNA". It matches the Rfam family "ASdes TB sRNA". The record is from RNAcentral. Lineage: Bacteria; Bacillati; Actinomycetota; Actinomycetes; Mycobacteriales; Mycobacteriaceae.
AGCUCGAUCGGAUCGAUGGCCCGCGUGACCAACAGAUAGUCGCGCAGUGCGAUACCGUGCCGGUUCUC